GCCUUCGUGGUAUAAUGGUCAGCAAACUCGACGCGUAUUCGAGAGGUCCGAGGUUCGAGUCCAGGCGAGGGCA
RNAcentral lists this transfer RNA (73 nucleotides) under Stegodyphus mimosarum. It matches the Rfam family "tRNA". From Rfam's summary of the family: Transfer RNA (tRNA) molecules are approximately 80 nucleotides in length. Their secondary structure includes four short double-helical elements and three loops (D, anti-codon, and T loops). Further hydrogen bonds mediate the characteristic L-shaped molecular structure. tRNAs have two regions of fundamental functional importance: the anti-codon, which is responsible for specific mRNA codon recognition, and the 3' end, to which the tRNAs corresponding amino acid is attached (by aminoacyl-tRNA synthetases). tRNAs cope with the degeneracy of the genetic code in two manners: having more than one tRNA (with a specific anti-codon) for a particular amino acid; and 'wobble' base-pairing, i.e. permitting non-standard base-pairing at the 3rd anti-codon position. The record is from Rfam by way of RNAcentral. Lineage: Eukaryota; Metazoa; Arthropoda; Arachnida; Araneae; Eresidae.